This is a non-coding RNA of Saccostrea cuccullata (small rock oyster), 74 nucleotides long. The record is from the annotation of a RefSeq genome assembly. NCBI's taxonomy places the organism in Eukaryota, Metazoa, Mollusca, Bivalvia, Ostreida, Ostreidae.
GGCCAGAUAGCUCAAUCGGUAGAGCACCUGACUCGAGAUUCAGGGGGCCCAGGGUUUGAACCCCUGUUUGGUCC